RNAcentral lists this ribosomal RNA (254 nucleotides) under uncultured bacterium. RNAcentral describes it as "partial 16S ribosomal RNA". It matches the Rfam family "Bacterial small subunit ribosomal RNA", at positions 524 to 776 of the family's 1533-position model. The record is from RNAcentral.
UACGGGGGGAGCAAGCGUUGUUCGGAUUUACUGGGCGUAAAGGGCGCGUAGGCGGCCACCGCAAGUCGACUGUGAAAUCUCCGGGCUUAACCCGGAAAGGUCAGCCGAUACUGCGGGGCUAGAGUGCAGAAGGGGCAACUGGAAUUCUCGGUGUAGCGGUGAAAUGCGUAGAUAUCGAGAGGAACACCUGCGGCGAAAGCGGCUUACUGGGUCUUUUCUGACGCUGAUGCACGAAAGCUAGGGGAGCAAACGGG